UCAAAUUUUAUGCACAUAGAAAUUACUGAUUCUCAGUUCGCGAAGAGUCUUAUCCUCUUGCAAUGCCAAUCUUGAACUGGGGAUCCUCGGUGGUGGAGGCAACCAAUCCUCAUCUUUUCUCUCCUUUCCACCCUUCUCAUCAUUAUCAUCAUCAUCUAAAACAACAACAUCCUUUCGGUUUGGUUCACCUUCCCAUCCUAAAAAUUCAAAAAAAUCAAAAAAAGAAGAAUCUAACGGACCCAAAACUUCCACAAAACGACAAAAAACCCUAAUCUGAACAAGAUGCAACUCAGUGUACGAUCGGCGGUCUUCUUCCUCUUCAUCCCAGGAAAAAUUGGAACCGAAUCCAGAUCGUCAUCAUCGAAGGAGGGGAAAUCCGUGGGCUGGACACGGCUGUAAUCGAAGAGAGGCUCGAGCUCUUUUCCAGGCUCAUCCUGCCGAACGAAUCAAAGGAGAAAGAGAUGGAAAACUGAGGGAGGGGAAAAAACCUAGAAAAUUUAGCCACAAGGGAAGCAGAGAGCACAGUAAUUCGCAAACCACUGGCGACGAAUUGAUAGCGUUCCAAGGGGGAGACGGCUAUUUGGCGUCGAAACGUUCGCUGAACCGAAGCGGUGGUGGCGGCGGGAGGUGGCUGCGCGCUCGCGGCCGACGAUUUGGGGGGAAGAAACAAGGAAUGUUUUCCUAAUUUCAUAUCGAACGUGAGGGAAGUGCAAUGCACUUGCGAUGAUGCAACGAUGCAAGUGACGGAGCAUGAAUCUCAUAAAGAUUCUUCUUUGACCAGGGAGGGACAUGGAUUUACAUUGUGACAUUAAUUUUAGGACCGCCAACCAAGAAGGAAGUCCUGCAUGGUCGUAAGUCAUUGGUUUACAAUUGUUUCUAUACCCUGCAUCUAAUUUUGUAGCCAAUGCUAGAAAUAAUAAUGAUACAUAGAAUGGUUUAAUGUCCUAAUUGUGCAGCAUCACCAGGUCAUAAUUCAUGAUAUUGAGUGUUAAAACAUAUACAGAUGUAACCCAGAUGAAUCAGAGGGGAAACAAGGUAUAGAAUGAGGACAAAACAUAAAUAGUCCGCAUAUGGAACUGACAGUGACAACACAUUGUAGUUUGAUCAAACAAAACAAAGAAGUGGAGAAGUUGAGCUAUUCACUCUUCUCCCUAGUAACUCUUUUCCUUCUUCCUUCUCUGUUUUCUUUUCACUUCAUCACUAUUGCCUAAUGCUUUUCUCAUUCAGUAUAUGUAGAGUCUGACUGAAUUUUCGACCCAACUCUUUUACUUCUGAUUCUAUAAGAAUUCUACAUAUCCUUUUUCUGUAGUGUUGAACCCUCAUUACACAUUAAAUAUAUUAAAGUACCACUCUAAUAUAAGGUUUGCAGAAACUUUCACUGUUACUCAAAAUUCUCACUGGAUCGACCUCAAGGAACCUUCUAAAAGCCCUAAAGCUUCUAGAGUAAUCUACCAAAUCCCAUUUUCUAAACCAUAGGGCAAACCAAGAAAGCUUCCCUAAUCUUUAAUCCACAAAAUCACUCAUGACUUCUGACAUUGAACACCAUAGUUAAAUUCAAUCAAAAUCUACAAAUAGUGGCACUCAAGGUCCAUUAUCAUAGACAAGCACACCCUCCUAUCGGUCCAACGUCUUUACUCUGGCAGUUAAUUAUGACAUUAAAGCACAAAUGGAGAUGGGGAAAAAAGUUCUGUUGUAGCUGCCCAAGGAGUACAGAACAUUUAUAUACUAGUAUUCGACAAUCUGAGUUCAAUGAGACUACAAACAUGAUGAGCCAUUAGAUAUUAUUCUAAUAGCAUGAGCCCCUUUCUUUCCUCAAGAAACUGUAAACAAAUCCAAUGCAUAUGUGCUAAAAUUUUGGCUCCUGUAUUAACAAUUCAACAUAGCUCAAUAAUAUAAAAUGUGCCCUUAAAACAUACAAACACUAGAUAGAAAUGUAGAACUAAAAUUAACAUAGAACCAUGUUGAAAGUAGUACCGAAUAAACACAGAACUGCUUUUGUCCAUCAUUUCCCUGAAUAGAUAUAACAAUUUUCUUUCUUUCAACUUGUGGUUUGAUGACUGAUUCCCUUUGGCUUCUGCAUCAUUCCCAGAACUACUAAGUUCACUUCUGGCAGACUCCACUACUGCUCUCAACACAUCCCGAGCCGAUUGAGCUAACGAUACCAACUCCUGCUUCUGUAGUCUAAAUAAAUAGGACAUUUUAAUCAGUUAUAACAUUAAGGAUAAUUAAGAAAUACAUAUUGUUGCAUCAAAGUAUAUCUAUUUUCUUUAAACAUAAUGCUGAAAAUUAGAAACAAAUCACAUAAUGAUUAUAAAUAUUUUGACUUAGAUGAUUAUAGAGGAAACUUUAUUUUUUAUAAACCAGGAACCUAAAUCUAUGGACUAGUUAUUGAGUAUUGGAAAAAAAAAAAUUAACAAGAUCCUAACAUCCAUAUUUGGCAGGAUACAUCAGAAUUAAAAAAUGCUUGUAGUAACACGAGCUAUCAAAAGAGUAGAUCUGAAGACUUAAAAAAGCUGAAUGAUGAUCACAUAAACAAAAAUAGAUUACUCUGAAAUUUCUAUACAAGAACACCACAUGAAAGCGGAAAUUUAAGUCUUCAUCCUGUCAGCUUUAUUCAAAAUUGAGCCCAGAGUGUCAUCCACGACGUGACAUAGAGACCAAUUGAUAGUUCCAUAUAUAAAGACUUAAUGUCUACAAAAACAAGGAUGCUGAUCCCUUGAAGUGCAUAUGCAAGGCAUUAAAUGUAAAUCUCAGAUGCCUCAAAGAAGUUUUUCCUCUUUCAGAAUUCCUCUCUAUCAAUUGGAAUACUUAAAACUUCAGGGUCAAGUGAGUUUUGGAGAGAUGCUCAGUUAUGUAGCUAAACAUGAUACAGAUUUUAUAUAUUAAUUAGUAUUGAAGAAUAAUUCCACUAAUAUGUUAAUCAAAUCCUAGUAAUGCUAUAAAAGGUGUUAUUAGUGAUAAUCAAACAUCAAAUUAGAGCUUCCUUACAGAAUCAAUGAAAUAAAGCAGCUCCUCUCUCUCCUUUUUCUCUCUCACAGCAAGGCAGGGAAAAACUGAAAAGCCCACCCAGCUUUCAUUAAGAAAAUGAAGGAGGUACAAGAAUUCUCAGAGAGGAAAAGAAAGAGGAGCGAGAGGAUGUAAAUGGGGAAGGGGGCGAGAAGAGACCCAGGCAAUGGAAUUGGCAAGUUUAUCAGGGGCAUACAAAGUCCAGUCCCAAAAGAGUUCAUUGGUUUUAUUGGAGAAGACCCAGCGGUUUUGUUCAAGCCAUAAGCACCAGGGCUUCCCAACCAUGUAAACAGCAGGACGAUUUUUCUUAGUAGACCAGGAUCCCCCAAAGCAAUGAAGGGCAUGUGUCUAGCCUUUGACUCCAAUCUUGUCCUUCGAUUUUGCACAGGGUUCCAUUACUAUUAAUAGGUGGCUCCGAGAUUUCUUAUGGGCACAGGAAUCUCAAGUAAUUCAGUCAAAUGGAAUGAGGGAAGGAGCAACAGAUCAGCAGGGGGUUCAUGGUUACCUGAGACCACAAGUAAAGUGGGCAGCAAGGUGGUCCACGGUUAUCUGAGAUCUUCAGUAAAGUGGCAGCAAGGGGGAUCUGGGCAGUUAUGUUUGGCUAGAUUCUCCUAGACAAGAAGUUUAUUAUAGUAUCUGUCCGGAAGAAUUGGAUUUUGGUAGGAAUAGGAAUCUUCUUCUCUUAGCCUGAAUAAGCUGAGAAUGUCACUUGGGCUUGUUCAGGUGCACAUAGAGGAUGCAUGCCGUUACUACCUAUAGCAAUACAGAGAUUUACCAAGGAAAUUAUACAAAUGUAUGUAUGGAUGUGGAAAAUGAAGAUUUAAUCUUGUCAUCUUGGUAGUCUACUGGACAUCCUCACUUAUUUAGAUCGGACCCCAGCAUGUAAACUGAAUGGGCAUCAACUGGUUCUGCUUUGAACUGCUGAGAGCACAAUAAGCAUUUUGGCACCAGAAAACACCACGAUCCCCCAUGUAAUCCCUCACCAACACAUACAAACACAAGAAAAAAAGAAAAAAAAUUGCACCCAUUCCACAUGCAUUCUGGAGGUUGUUUAGCAGUGCUCAAAAAUAAAAAGUGGUACUGCCAGGGGUGUCUAUAACACCAGUAUUUCUGACUUACACAUGAUACUUAUGAAAAAAGGGCACUCCAAUGCAUGAGGUUCUCGCCACUGCAGGAUCUGGGGAGGGUCAGAUGUACGCAGCCUUACAUUGCAUGCAGAGAAGCUAUUUCCAUCUUUUAGACUUGUGACUCCCAAGGCUUACCCUCGCAUGACACUUAAGAAAGACAACAAUAUUGUAUAGAACUUCUUACACUUCAAAUUGUAAAACUAUGGCAUCUCUUUGACCCAGGAUAUCAUGGCUCCAAUAGAAACAUAAAUUUUUAGCAACACAUCAUCAAAAAUUUUGUAGUUUUGUAAGAAACCUAACAGUACCCAGGUUAUAAUACGAUAUACUUGCCAGAGUACUGAAUUAAGUUGAAUGAUUCACCAUGUUGGGUUUAUAAAGACAUGUUACUUCAUAGGAUGUUAGUAUGAGCAACAACAUUCAUAAUGUAUUUCAACUAUGAAAUUUCUGUAUACAUAAAAACGGAAAUGAAUUUAAGCCAUCAAUAGGUGAACAAGAUCUUUCUUAUAGGUCUCUUCUUUCUUAUUGUCAUGGUUCCAGUCUAUAAUUUGGUGUAUCAUUCUCCUUCAACCUGAAUUCAGAUCACUGUCACACUGUUUCAAUCAAUCACAAAUGAUUAGGUCACUUUUGUCAAUGCUAUUUCAGAAAGCAGGUUCAUCUAGCUUGAUGUUCACAUGGUCUUCAAAUGGACUAUUUACAUUCUUGUAAAUAUUUGCCAGCUAUAAUGUUUGCAAUUCCCACCACAUCAAUGACCAACUUUGACCAAAUUUGAUUAAAAGGUUUUGAAACACUGUUUAGUUAUUGAAGCCGGAUACUGAUAACAAGAAAAAGAUGAUUCUAGGUGCUCGCAUUUUCCCGAUUCAACAAUCAAAUAUGCCAAUAAUCAAUGUUCAUUGAUUACUUGAAAGCCACUAUUAAUAGCUUGCUGAAGACCAUCUGAUAUUAGAAAUACAAAGCCACUCAUUGAGCUUCCAAAAAAUUUGUGCAAAUUCUUAGAACUAUAGUGUGAAAAUUCUUCAGAUCCCCCAAAAAAGGGAACGAUACAAGCAACUAAAUCACCCUAGGCACAACAGUCCGCAUACUGCAGGAGAAGGAAUUACAUAGGAAAGGGAAAAGAAGAUCUUUAAUUUAGUUGUUAAAAAAAUUCUGCAAAUCCUCUUUUGUCAUAAUAACUAUCAUGAAGAUUGCAGUUUUACUAUAAACUAAGAUCUUUAAGGUCUGCGAAUGUUAAAUAUUAAAGACCAAACAAUCAGUCCAGAAAACUACAAGGCUACUCAAAGUUGAGAAAGCUCCAUUAAGGAAUAAGCAAAUUUGACUACCAGCAGUUAGUUUGAUAUCAACCCUCCAAUAUGUGCACAAUUUUGCCUUAUUCAUCUCUGAAAGAUUACCAUCUUUUAAAUAAACUAGCCCCACCUAUAAAGUCCCAUCCCCUUGAAUCGGGCAUCUGAUGGUUGAAUCGUCCACUCCUAUGUUCCUUUUGCCUGGGAUUAUACUGCAACUGGUAAGGUAGAGAGAUGGGGAUAAAAAAAAGCCUACUAUCAAUCCUAGCAGAACCAAGAAAGGGAUCAGAGAGCUUAAGAACUUGAAGUCAGGCAUAAAAUAUGAAGCUUUAGGGGCUUCAAAAUCUAACAGUAAAAAGAACCUAAUGGGAGCAAGAACAGGGUUGAAGAAUGAGGUUUCAUGAAGAUUCUAAGAUGGAAUGACAGAGGGUUAGAUAAUGUGAAGAAAAGACACUCUGUAAAUGACAUUCUACUCAAAGCAAAACUCUAGACAUGCAAGAAGACUCGAAGAAGGAAUAUGAACUACUAUUGAUACAGGAAGCUGGUUUCAUCACCAAGGUACAAAGAAGCCAAAGAAACAGGUGAAACAGGCCGAGCAAGAUAAUGUAUGAAGCUAUCAAAAGGUCCAAGAUUAAAUAUUUAGACAAAAUGAAAAGUUCUUGAAGAGCAAAAAUAAGUGUGGUUCCAAGUAUACCUCAGUUCGCGAAGAGUCUUAUCCUCUUGCAAUGCCAAUCUUGAACUGGGGAUCCUCGGUGGUGGAGGCAACCAAUCCUCAUCUUUUCUCUCCUUUCCACCCUUCUCAUCAUUAUCAUCAUCAUCUAAAACAACAACAUCCUUUCGGUUUGGUUCACCUUCCCAUCCUAAAAAUUCAAAAAAAUCAAAAAAAAGAAGAAUCUAACGGACCCAAAACUUCCACAAAACGACAAAAAACCCUAAUCUGAACAAGAUGCAACUCAGUGUACGAUCGGCGGUCUUCUUCCUCUUCAUCCCAGGAAAAAUUGGAACCGAAUCCAGAUCGUCAUCUGCCAAUCAAACCCUAGAAGUGAGAAAACACCAGAAAAACUAAAAAGAAAAAAGAAAUCUUCGACGAGAGAAGAGGGAGAGGAAGAGAAAAGACCAUCGAAGGAGGGGAAAUCCGUGGGCUGGACACGGCUGUAAUCGAAGAGAGGCUCGAGCUCUUUUCCAGGCUCAUCCUGCCGAACGAAUCAAAGGAGAAAGAGAUGGAAAACUGAGGGAGGGGAAAAAACCUAGAAAAUUUAGCCACAAGGGAAGCAGAGAGCACAGUAAUUCGCAAACCACUGGCGACGAAUUGAUAGCGUUCCAAGGGGGAGACGGCUAUUUGGCGUCGAAACGUUCGCUGAACCGAAGCGGUGGUGGCGGCGGGAGGUGGCUGCGCGCUCGCGGCCGACGAUUUGGGGGGAAGAAACAAGGAAUGUUUUCCUAAUUUCAUAUCGAACGUGAGGGAAGUGCAAUGCACUUGCGAUGAUGCAACGAUGCAAGUGACGGAGCAUGAAUCUCAUAAAGAUUCUUCUUUGACCAGGGUAAUAGAAUCGUGAAUUUAUGCUGGAUUCGUGGAUUGAAUCGUAUAUUUAAGAAUAAGUCAUGUCAAUGCUGGAUGCCCACACGCU
RNAcentral lists this long non-coding RNA (7038 nucleotides) under Phoenix dactylifera (date palm). RNAcentral describes it as "long non-coding RNA (PDAC_LNC001406)". Lineage: Eukaryota; Viridiplantae; Streptophyta; Magnoliopsida; Arecales; Arecaceae. The record is from RNAcentral.